RNAcentral lists this ribosomal RNA (186 nucleotides) under uncultured Bacteroidota bacterium. Its description in RNAcentral is "uncultured Bacteroidetes bacterium partial 16S ribosomal RNA". It matches the Rfam family "Bacterial small subunit ribosomal RNA", at positions 120 to 306 of the family's 1533-position model. The record is from RNAcentral. Lineage: Bacteria; Pseudomonadati; Bacteroidota.
UGCAACCUACCUUAAUCAGGGGGAUAGCCCGAAGAAAUUCGGAUUAACACCGCAUAAAAACACAGGGUAGCAUUACCCAAUGUUCAAAUAUUUAUAGGAUUAAGAUGGGCAUGCGUGUCAUUAGCUAGUUGGCGGGGUAACGGCCCACCAAGGCGACGAUGACUAGGGGAUCUGAGAGGAUGACCC